GAGUUUGAUCCUGGCUCAGGAUGAACGCUAGCGGCAGGCCUAACACAUGCAAGUCGAGGGGUAACAUAAAGUGCUUGCACUUUGAUGACGACCGGCGCACGGGUGAGUAACGCGUAUACAAUCUGCCUCAUACUAGGGGAUAGCCCAGAGAAAUUUGGAUUAAUACCCUAUAGUAUCAUUUAGAGUCAUCUCUUUAUGAUUAAAGGUUACGGUAUGAGAUGAGUAUGCGUUCUAUUAGUUAGUAGGUGAGGUAACGGCUCACCUAGACCACGAUAGAUAGGGGCCCUGAGAGGGGGAUCCCCCACACUGGUACUGAGACACGGACCAGACUCCUACGGGAGGCAGCAGUGAGGAAUAUUAGACAAUGGGCGAAAGCCUGAUCUAGCCAUGCCGCGUGCAGGAUGACGGCCCUAUGGGUUGUAAACUGCUUUUAUACAGGAAGAAAAAACUCUACGUGUAGAGUCUUGACGGUACUGUAAGAAUAAGGAUCGGCUAACUCCGUGCCAGCAGCCGCGGUAAUACGGAGGAUCCAAGCGUUAUCCGGAAUUAUUGGGUUUAAAGGGUCUGUAGGUGGACAAUUAAGUCAGAGGUGAAAUCCUGCAGCUCAACUGUAGAAUUGCCUUUGAAACUGGUUGUCUUGAGUCAUUAUGAAGUGGUUAGAGUGUGUAGUGUAGCGGUGAAAUGCAUAGAUAUUACACAGAAUACCAAUUGCGAAGGCAGAUCACUAAUAAUGUACUGACACUGAUGGACGAAAGCGUGGGUAGCGAACAGGAUUAGAUACCCUGGUAGUCCACGCCGUAAACGAUGGUCACUAGCUGUUCGGACUUCGGUCUGAGUGGCUAAGCGAAAGUGAUAAGUGACCCACCUGGGGAGUACGUUCGCAAGAAUGAAACUCAAAGGAAUUGACGGGGGCCCGCACAAGCGGUGGAGCAUGUGGUUUAAUUCGAUGAUACGCGAGGAACCUUACCAGGGCUUAAAUGUAGAGUGACAGGUCUAGAGAUAGAUUUUUCUUCGGACACUUUACAAGGUGCUGCAUGGUUGUCGUCAGCUCGUGCCGUGAGGUGUCAGGUUAAGUCCUAUAACGAGCGCAACCCCUGUUGUUAGUUGCCAGCGAGUAAUGUCGGGAACUCUAGCAAGACUGCCAGUGCAAACUGUGAGGAAGGUGGGGAUGACGUCAAAUCAUCACGGCCCUUACGUCCUGGGCUACACACGUGCUACAAUGGUAGGUACAGAGAGCAGCCAAUGCGCAAGAAGGAGCGAAUCUAUAAAACCUAUCUCAGUUCGGAUCGGAGUCUGCAACUCGACUCCGUGAAGCUGGAAUCGCUAGUAUUCGGAUAUCAGCCAUGAUCCGGUGAAUACGUUCCCGGGCCUU
Molecule: ribosomal RNA, 1372 nt
Filed under: uncultured marine bacterium
Lineage: Bacteria
Description: bacterial SSU rRNA
Rfam family: Bacterial small subunit ribosomal RNA
Source: RNAcentral